UCAUGUAGCUCUUGUCAACAUGUAGUAUUGCUAUUGAAACAAAAUAUUUGUUAGUUUGACAGGAGAAAAAAAUUCAUCACUAUAUUUUCAUAUAUUUUUUGACUAUUAGCAGGACUAAAUUUUUUUUCAUAUGUUCAUAGGCUAUCUGUAUUUUUUGGUGAAUUGCUUUUUUAUGUCUUUUUUUGGUACAUGCAUUCAGACACUUGGGGCAUUGAGUUGCUUGAAAUUAGUAUGUCUAGGAAGAAGGGGGGUGAAGUCGUUUCAUCUGAUGUUGAGAAUUAAAAAUAUCUUUAAAACAAACCCCAGACUUCCUCAGGCUUAUAGAAAGCCUUACUGAAAAACAGCUCAAUUGUAAUUGUUAUUUGGCUCCUUUAUAACUUAAAUUCCAGCUCAUAUUGGCUUUAUCUGGAUGUCACAGGCAAACCAAAAAGAUUAGAAAAUACCCUCCACACAAUUAACCAAGGAUUCUACAAAUUCUUAGAAAACAAGUGAAGCAAUGCCAGCUUCUCUCUUCCAGUUAAGAGCUACCCUUGGAGUCAGGCUGAUAAGUCAAUUGCCCUGGUCCUGUGGGCACAUGAAUGAGGAAGGACCAUCCUUUGAUAGGGAGUAUCUGGAGUUCAUAUUCAAUGCCCAGGAUGGGAAGGAUAUACUCAAAACUGGAUUCCUUCCGCUUUACGCUGCCUGCAUUUAUGUGUCACUAUAGUAAGAAUAUUCUUUUGCUCGUCUUCACUAAAAUGUUUAAAGUGGAAAGGCAGGGAGGAGGAGUCUAUAUGCUCUCAGUAUUUGCAUUUUGGCCUUAUAGUCAGGCAUGUAUUAAGUAGCAUAUCUCCUCUAACCGUUGUCAUAAUUAAAGUGUUUAUGCUUUAGUAUUAGAGGCCUAACAGCUUCCAUUACUGUUACUGAGUCCAAGCUGCUACUGCUCACUGCAUAACAGGCCAAUAAAUCAAGAGACCAGGUAUAGGGGCAAGGAAGAACGACUUUGUUCAAAAAGCCAUCAAACUGAGAAGAUGGUGAACUAGGGUCCAAAGAACUAUUUUGUCCGAGUUAGAGUUCAGACUUCUCUUAUUCUAAAAAAGAGGGAAUAAAGUCAAACAUUUCCUGGUUCAGGUCAACCUCCAGAGGGGAUGUGUUCAUUUCUUCCUUCCUGCAGUCAUUCAACAGUGGGGCUUGGUCAGGGUGUUUCUUAUGAACUAAACAAAGGUAUUUUAGCUUAAUACUCAUUAUCCAGGAAGCAGGGUUCCCAGAGAUGGGCCAUUGUAUGUAAGUUAAGCUUAUAGGCAACAUCUCUUUAGUGAUUAACUUGUAAUAGCAUAGAAUGUUUCUUCCCUAUUACACUGCGUCAGGAGUAGGCAAGCAUGCCUUGGCUAAUCUUGCCAACUUCCAAACUAUCAUCGCAGGGAAAAUAGGGCUCACCAACCAUAUGUGGGUUGCAGUUGGUGCUUCUUUCUCAGGAUCCCUUGUAGUGUGAUUGAGAAUGAAAUACCCAAAUUUGCUGUUGCAAGAGUAUACCAAUCCAGGCAAAAGUUGACUUGAAGAGUAGUAAACAUCUACUACAGAAAAAUAUUUCUGUAAGUGAGCUGAUCCCUUGAUAAAUCAGUUGAUCACCCACAGAGCCAUCCAAAUUUGAGCUGUGUCUGCCCCCAACCCUACCAUGUUACCAACUCCCCGAAAGAUAUCCGGGUCACACAGAGUGAAUAGUUACCUUAUCCAUUUCUAAAGGUAACUGCCUGGUUGACUUUAAAAUGGGUUAUCUCAACUGUGACUUGAAGAGUGAAGUACAUCAUAUUCUAGAAUUAAAAAAAAAAAAGAAAGAAAAGUUCAUAUUUUUGAUAGGUAUAACUUCCUAAUUUUAGAGUUGCCUUUUAAUUCUUCUCUUUUCUAUAACCUGCAAUAAUUAACUAUUUUCUAAUGAAUUAUAUACUAUUAUUAUCUUGGGAUUUUUGGCUCUAUGUGACUAAACAUUCAUAUUCACAUUGAACUGGGGAAGGUGUAAAACUUCUAACCAGAUGGAUACUUCUGAAACAAGUGAUCUCAGAUUGCACUUUAGGUGGGAUUUCUAUAAUGUUUAAAUGGUUCAGUUAAGUAGCAUACUAUUUCCAGUUUCUAUAGUCAUGCUAUAUGUGUAUUCUCUUCUAAUUUUAUAAAGUCGCCCAAUUGAAUCUUUAUUCCUUGCAUCUUUUAGACAGCAGAGCUGGGUCCCAGUUGAUCAAGACUUGCAGAAAAUGGCUGUGCUUCUCUGCUCUAAUAUUGAUUUUUCUUCCAUUCUGACAAAAUCAUUUAAUUUUUCAAUUUCUAGAUCUCUGUAUUAAAAAGGAGGUCACAGGGAACUUAAAAGAAUUACAUUUUUCUCAUCUGGUGUAUGAAUCACCAACAUUAAAUCAUAUUAACUGACCUUGUACAAUUCCCCCCUAAAUUCUAGAAUAUAUUAAGCCAUUCAAAAUUCUUUGCAGCUUAUGAUAGCAAAUGCCCAGAAAUGGUGAACCAAGUUUCCAACAUUAUUGCAGAGAUGCUGAAAAACCCAGGAAGCGAUGAUAAGCUGACACAUGACCUCAAGCAAGUGAAGGUUUGUGCCAGAGGAGACUCUUCUGACAAGUUAGUCACAAAACCUGCUGUAAACUUGCGUUUUCCACCAACUCGAACAUUUCCAUAGGUUAAAGCCUAUGCUUUGGGGUAAACUUCUGAGGUUUAGCAAUACCACAGAGUUUUGAUAGUUUAUCAACAUCACAGAAGGUCCCAGCCUUAACCAAUGCUUUUCAGCUAGGUUGGGGUGGAUGGAGAUCAGAAAGAGGGACGUUGGGGAGUUCCCGUGGUGGCUCAGUGGUUAACGAAUCCGACUAGGAACCAUGAGGUUGCGGGUUCGAUCCCUGGCCUUGCUCAGUGGGUUAAGGAUCCGGCAUAGCCGUGAGCUGUGGUGUAGGUUGCAGAUGUGGCUUGGAUCCUGUGUUGCUGUGGCUCUGGCGUAGGCCGAUGGCUACAGCUCCAAUUUGACCCCUGGCCUGGGAACCUCCAUAUGCCAUGGGUGUGGCCCUAGAAAAGGCAAAAAGACGAAAAAAAAAAAAAAAGAAAAAGGGACACUAGAUUCCAUAUCAGGAAACUCAAGGAGGGGGCAGUGGGAGCAGGUACCCUACAGAAGGGGAAAGCACCUGGGGGGAUGGGACAACCCUGGACACCCGCCUGCACGGUGUUCCUCUUACCUUUGGAUAUAAGACUAUGGCCUAUGGAACCCAUGGCAUGGCUCUAGGGGCUGGGCUCCCUAGGAAGCCAAGCACAAGUAUCUUGUAUUUGUUUGUUAUUUAUUUAUUGGCAGAGCCCAUGCCAUGUGGGAGUUCCUGAGGCAGGGAUCGAACCUACAUCACACCAGACACCCAAGCCACUGCAAUGAGAGCACUGGAUCCUUAACCCCAGAGCCACUAGGGAACUCACAAGCAGAGGUACCUUUUAAACAAUUCAGAGCACUUCACAGUUGUUCUAAUCGCUCUGGCCCCUAACUCGACAGAAUCAUAAUGGGCAGUCUUUUCCUUUAAUCACAUGAAAUUGAUUCUGAUUUUGUUGCUGAAGCUUUGCAAUGUUUUUAAAACAUUAGCUGUCAUGACCAAUUAAAAUCCUCUAGGUGAAAGUGGUUUUUAAAGUUACAUUGCUAUUUAAACUAUAGUUUUAGUCACUUUUUUGGGAAUUCCUUAACACUCGACGAUAUAUUAGAAACCAGGGUCCUGUGGAGCCUCUUAAAGGCUCAUUCAAAUGAGAUUUAAAGCAUGAGAGAUGCUCUGUUUUGUGCCAUGAGAGAACUUCUAGUCCCAUCAACUGAUUUACAUUGAUGUAAAUCAGUACUUCUAAAGGGAAGUUUGCUUCAAGCACACGGCCUGCCAAUGAUGAGUCAGCAGCAAAAGAGAAACACCCCCGGAGUAAGUGUUGCUAUGGGAUGAAGGUUUUCUGUAGAAGCUGCACCAUAUCUUUCAGGCUGGGGACACAUCUUGAGUUCUCAUGGUUAAUCCCUGAAGGUUGUAACAACCCCUUGGCCACCUCAUCUUUCUAGACAAGCUGGUGGCUAAUACCCCAUGGACUCCUAGAAGCCAGUCCUGGCAGGGAUCCUUAAGAACAUCUCAGCAGGAAACUGAAGCCCAGAAAUGUUUGAUAAUAAGGUUUCACUAUAGCUAAUUAAGGUUAAAAAAGUAUUCUGAGUCCAAGAGACAGUUUGUUCCACUGUGUGGGGAAAAUAAUAUCAAUGCCAUAACAAUGUCAGGUUCACCUUGACCAAAUCUCAUCUAGUAUGGCAAAUCCACAGGGAAUUAAGAAACCCAUAAUAAUAAAUGCAGCUUCUUGGAGUUCCCAUUGUGGCCCAGGGGGUUAAGGACCCAGUGUCGUCUUCAUGAGGAUGCAGGUUUGAUCCCUACCCUCACUAAGGUUAAGGAUCCAGUGUUGCUGCAAGUUGUGGCAUAGGUUGCAGAUGCAGCUUGGAUCCCAUGUUGCUGUGGCUGUGGCAUAGGCCUCAGCUCCAACUCCAAUUUGAUCCCUAGCUUGGGAACUUCCAUAUGUUGCAGGUUGUGGCCAUAAAAAGAAAAAAAAA
This 4564-nucleotide long non-coding RNA is filed under the name Sus scrofa (pig). RNAcentral describes it as "lncRNA (ENSSSCG00015029264.1)". Lineage: Eukaryota; Metazoa; Chordata; Mammalia; Artiodactyla; Suidae. The record is from RNAcentral.